CUUGAGCGACCCCAGCAGCAGCGGACGGUCCGCGUCGCGGCCCUGCCCGUAGGUGGCCAGCAGCGCCUGGGCCUC
Streptomyces autolyticus is the source of this 75-nucleotide non-coding RNA. The record is from Rfam. Lineage: Bacteria; Bacillati; Actinomycetota; Actinomycetes; Kitasatosporales; Streptomycetaceae.